This 587-nucleotide ribosomal RNA is filed under the name uncultured bacterium. RNAcentral describes it as "partial 16S ribosomal RNA". It matches the Rfam family "Bacterial small subunit ribosomal RNA", at positions 355 to 1375 of the family's 1533-position model. The record is from RNAcentral.
UGGGGAAUUUUGGACAAUGGGCGAAAGCCUGAUCCAGCAAUGCCGCGUGUGUGAAGAAGGCCUUCGGGUUGUAAAGCACUUUUGUCCGGAAAGAAAUCCUUGGCUCUAAUACAGUCGGGGGAUGACGGUACCGGAAGAAUAAGCACCGGCUAACUACGUGCCAGCAGCCGCGGUAAUACGUAGGGUGCAAGCGUUAAUCGGAAUUACUGGGCGUAAAGCGUGCGCAGGCGGUUUGCUAAGACCGAUGUGAAAUCCCCGGGCUCAACCUGGGAACUGCAUUGGUGACUGGCAGGCUAGAGUAUGGCAGAGGGGGGUAGAAUUCCACGUGUAGCAGUGAAAUGCGUGAGAUGUGGAGGAAGUACCGAUGGCGAAGGCAGCCCCCUGGGCCAAAUACUGACGCUCAUGCACGAAAGCGUGGGGAGCAAACAGGAUUAGAUACCCUGGUAGUCCACGCCCUAAAACGAUGUCAACUAGUUGUUGGGGAUUCAUUUCCUUAGUAACGUAGCUAACGCGUGAAGUUGACCGCCUGGGGAGUACGGUCGCAAGAUUAAAACUCAAAGGAAUUGACGGGGUCAUAGCUGUUUCCU